Solenopsis invicta (red fire ant) is the source of this 6809-nucleotide long non-coding RNA. RefSeq lists it as uncharacterized. The transcript has 3 exons. NCBI's taxonomy places the organism in Eukaryota, Metazoa, Arthropoda, Insecta, Hymenoptera, Formicidae. The record is from RefSeq and is a predicted model, not a curated record.
GUAGCUCUAUGCAAAUCGGUUCGAACCGGGUGCGAGAUCGCGCGGACGAAAGGCUGCAAAGACGAAUCAGUUCGCGAACGGUAGCGACUUGAGCGAGUCGCUCGGUAUACGAAGUACGGCAGUGGCGAUUCGGAAACCGGCGAUAUUUCGCUGAUGAGAAAGACGAAGGGAAGAUACGAGCGCACGAGGUGCGCGCUGCCGGCUCGUCGGGAGAGAGAAAAGUGGCGGGAAAAGCAGGGGAGUGCGUGGGCGCAGGAUCGAUGAAGGGCGCAAAAUGGCGACGACGCGAAAGGAUAGGGCGCGAAUAGACGCGCACGCGACGCGAGGAAGAGGAAGAGGACCGAGUUCUCUCUCUCUCUGUCUCUCAUUCUCUCUCGGACGACGAAAGAGGAGGACGGGCCUGCCAGGAUCGUUAGGGGAAGGAGGUGGACGGUGAAGGAGGAGGCGGCGAUGAAGGAGCGCGUCGUGGAGAAAGAGAAAGGUGGAUCGCGGUUUCCGGCAUCGAAGCAUCUCGCUGGCCUCGCGCACCAGUAUCGAAGUCUCCGAGCAACCCCUUAGAGAAAGAACGACCGACGCGCCACGCAGCGGAGGGUGCUGGUCGCAUUCCUUCCCCGACCGGCAAGAAGACGCGUACCUCUCUCCCAAUGGAACCUGAUUUUCUUGAUAACUGUGGAUUGCGGACUGACGAUCUCAACAGAGAGACACACGCCGGGGCUGACGAAACAUGGUCGUUUCGUCCACGGCCGUGAAACGACGUUUCCGGUUUUCGGGCGUUGUUCCGGUUGAAUUUGGAAAGAGGACUGUACGAUGGGGGAUGGUACGCAACUUUACAACACGGACAGACACGUACAAGCAUGACGGGGUGCUGCCCUCUGCAGGCUAAAAUUAGAGGGUUGCUGUCCGAAGUUCUCCGCUACACGUUUGCAUUUCCUAUGCACUAUUUCCCACGUGUAGGUGCGUACAGUCCCGCGCAAAAUUCGGGCUCUGCCGCCUCCGUCGCGCCGGCCGAUGCGCGUGUACAGAAUUUAUCAGCUUAUCGCCGAUUGAUUUAUUGCGCGCAAGAAGAGCAAAAAAAUGCGCCGAAUCCAUGAAUGAAACUGUUUUCGCCGGUCCCGCCACGCACGUUCGUGCGCGCGCGCGCGCGCGCGCAUGUAACUUUUUAUUCGACAAUAUUUUAUGAAAGCGACUUGUUAACGCGUGCAAUUCCCGACGAGUGUUUUCUCGACCGAUCUAUGCUUUUUGAUAUUAUUUCGACGUAACUUUGUGACUGUCGUUUGAAGAUUUAAACGCUAGACGACGUAUAAACGUCUGAUAUCUAUUGCAGGGGCGAGUUUUAAUUUAUCUGAACGCUAAUUCUGUGGAGUUUAUUACGUGCAUUAUCAAUAGUGCACAAACGAAGCAGCCGAAUGCGAUAUUCGAGGAAGAUUUGCAUCGGAUUCGACAGAUAGAUCUAUUCUAUUUAUUAUUCUACUUUUUCUAUUGGUCAUGGUAUUAGCACUGCCGUUAAUUAAAACAAUACACUGCUAAAUAUGUAAGGAUCGCGUUUAAACCGAUUUCUCAAGUUAAAUAACAUUUUGUUUUUAACUUUCAUGUGUGUUGAAAUUUAUUAUUUUACCGCAAAGUUUCAAAGUGAAUAACAUUCGUGUUAACGGUAUGCACUUAGUAAAUAAUAAAUAAAAUUCUAGUCAAAUUUAAUAUCACGUAACUUUCUUAAGUUGUCUCACUUUUUCUAGUUAAAUUAAUGACAUAUGUCGAGUGGGGGGGGGGGGGCAAUGACAACCUAUAACAACGAUGAAUGACUCAAAUUAGGUGUAAUUCAUCAUUACGAAUUUAAUAGUGUAUCGAGAGAUUGAACGUAAGAUAGAAUUAUCGGAUCGAUCAGGAUAUUUCUGUUUGCCUUCAAUGUGUCCAAGCGUUCGCAGACAGUUGGCUUGAACUUUGCGUUAAUUAUUUAAGACACUUAAUGACGACAUCGCCACUUUUUUGAGAUGACGACGGAGCAAUCUCGGAAAAGCAAUAUCGCAAUCAUUAGCGAGAGGAUUUUCGCGGAGGACUGUACGCACGUACCCUCUCCAGAGGCAUUAGACGCAGUGUAUCGGCGGCCGUGCUCGUGCGCGAGUAUUAGACACCAUGCCCGCAGCUCAUUUGCCAACUCCGGCAAAUUUACCAAAUUUAAAUGCAAAAUCGGCCGGUGCUCCGCCGGUUCGAUGGAGGUGCGAGCGAGACGGUGCGCGGGGUGGCGCGCGGGCGAGACGAGGAAAGGGGAAAGGUGAACACGAGAAUACGAGAGACAGAAAGAUAGAUAUAGGAACGAAGAGCAUGAGUGAGCGAGAAAGGGGUGUGCGGCGGAAGCGGGGAUACAGGGAGGAAGCGCACGGAAGAGACGAAGAGGGAAACGAAAAGCUCGAGCGAGAACGGACUACAUAGAUAGAUAGAGGCACGAUAGUGGAGAGCCGGAGAACGAGAGAGGGUGGACGGGAAAGAGGGACGGAGACAGAGACCGUGGUAGGAAACUCAAAUGGUCGCAAUGGUGCGGUAUAGUAGUCAGGCUGGUUGUCAGGCGCAGCAUGCGAUUGGUUCGCCGACCGUGUGUUACCUCUGUCUCUCUCGCUUUCUCUCUUCGCUUUACGUGUCUAUUCCGCUAUUCGUCCGUCUUUCUUUCACUGCAUCGUACUCGCCGCACCGACCUUUCUCUCGUUUCCACCCGCGUGUACCCUGCGCUUCGAGGGUUGCCGCCGCAGUUCUCGAGACGAGGGAAUCUGACAUCUUCGACAGUCCGACGAAGAAAAGUUUCGCGAGGGAGAUGGGCGUCCAGAGAGAGAGAGAGAGAGAGAGAGAGAGAGAGAGAGAGAGAGAGAGAGAGAGAGAGAGAGAGAGAGAGAGAGAGAGAGAGAGCGGACGCAGAACUAGAGAACGCGAUUGUCGUAAAAGAGAAUUUGCUUCCUUUUUUUUUAAUUUAGUAAGUUCAACAUUAGAAAUACCGAUGUUUCUCGCUCACUAAAAGGAUCGAACGAAUAAAUUACUAUGAAAAGAAUUUGAUUAAAAAUCAAAUAUUUCAUCAGCAUAAAAAUCAUAAUUAUUGAAAAGUAAAAAAAAACUUGAGAAUUCUAUCUUUUAUAUAGGCUACAUAAUAUCAAUUUAAAAAAACGGAAAAGUUCAAUAAUAAUCAUUCACUAUUUCUAAUCUCGAGUAGUUGGACGCUAACAUUUGUUUCGUCACGCCGCGACAAUUCGCGUUGCAAUAAAAUGACUACGGAAACCAUAUGUUUAUCGCGUGUCCUCUUCAUCGAAAUAUUAAAUGAAUGCGAUAGAUAUUAAUUCGAUGACUGCGGGAUCAAUGAAUACUUUUCGCCUUUUGAAUCUUUCCACUCUAAUAAAUUAAUUGGAGCUGUUUUGACGCAGCGUGGGAGGGAUAAUGUGUGGCACCGCGGUAUUUUUCAAUGAUGAGAUUAAUAAUUAUCAUCGAUUAUUUAAAAACAGCUGUGAAAGCGUACGAGUAGCUUUAUCUUUUUAGUGACCUCGUAAUGAAUAUUAAUUUUCCGAAUUAACGAAAAAUACAUCUGUAUCACAUUCAUUUUACUGCACCGGGCAAUUACCGGGAUUUAUCCUAUACAUUUCAGCCCAAGUAUUUCUUUUUAGCCAUUGUCGGAGUAAAAGUAGAAAAACUGUAUAUAUAUCUGACAUGCAGUUUCUGGCCAAGUGCAUAGGUAUGGGAGGGGUGUCUAUAUAUGUACAUAAAUAAGCGUCGUUGGUCGGCAUUCGAUCGCAGAUUGAGCGCAGCAAGCGGCAUUAAUUCCGAGGAGAAGAAGAUACGUUACCGGACGCGUCCGAUUUCGGGGCAGGAUCUAAAUCCCCGGCGGAGAAAAUCGGCCCGCACUAAAAUCGUCAAUCAAUGUCUCACGCUCUUGCCGCGCCCCGGCCGCGUUCAACCCUUCGCGCCCGCCGCCUACCUAUCCACCCAGCCACCCACCCCUCCGCCCUCCCCCCGGAGGUAGCGUCGAUCGCUCGUCGUCGCUGGGGCACACACAGCCAAAGGGUUGCCAAUUAUUAUUCGCGGUACACUUCGCACCGUUUUGUUGUUCAUCGGCAGCGCCGUUUAUUAUUCAUCGUUCAUCAUAUUGCGGUGCCCGUUACAACGCGCAGUUACAACACGACGACGGGCAGAAUACGCCGGGCCCGGCGUUGUUUCGCAUAGCGUUACACCGUUACGCCGACGUUACGAAUGGCACAGAGGGCGAAAGCGCGUGCUCGCUUACUCGUGCUCUUGUACUCGCACGCUCGCCGUUGCUCUCCCGCGUGUGUACACGCGCGUGUGCGCGUGUCGGUACACCGCGUGUACGCUCGUCAAAAUACAAAGUGAACACGAGUCCGCCAUGGGGACGUUUAUUGUGCACUCGUACGUUGUUUUAUCGGCGUUACAUUACGCGAUAGUUUUCAGUACUCGUCCCCCUCCCGCGCUUCUUUUAAUAAUGCGCAUUACGAUAAUAUCCCUUUGUGGUUGGAGCUCGGCGGGUGGGUGGGCGACCGGGCGGCGAAGCGAAUGCCCCACACCGCAGUUUUGAUAUUUAUAUACGUUCGACGUCGGGCUUGCGAGACGCGAGCGGAUGUAAAAUUCGACAACCAUCGCUCACCAUACUUACUCGGCGAUAAUUACUUAGUAAUUAAGCCUGACGUCCGAUGGCUAUCGGAUGCCGGGCUCUGACACAGGAACGCAACUUAAUUCGCGCCUCUACUGCCGAAGAUAUCUACGCGAUAUCGCAUUUAUUAUAUUUCGAUUACGUGCGUCACUAAACAGAGAAGUUAAUUAUAAAUCGGCAGAUCGGCUCGCAUUUACGCGCGCGUGAAUUUUAAUUAAAACGAAGAAGCACAAAUAUUUGCGGAAUCUACCCCCUAUUUUUUCUCACGCGCGCCCCCCUGUGUGCGCGCGCGCGCGCGCGCGAGACGACGUUCCCACAUACUAAUUUUAACAAGAUUCAGACUGUCAUGCGAACAAAUUUCAACAAAUGUCGGCGCUCGCAUUGUUUGUUUUCUGCGCGAAAUAUUUUUGAUAUGUUAAUUCCGCCGCUGCACUGCGUAAUGUCGAAAUCAUACCUACAUCUACACUAUUCAUACGCUGUGCACUAUGCGAAAUUUAUGUGUAAUCGAUUUCAAGCGCUCUGACUUGUUUCGUAUAGGAAAUUAGUAAACCACCGUUCACGGUCAGUGAAACAAAGAUACGGUACGAUGAAAAAGUGCAACAAGUAUCUAAAACAGAAUAUACGUAACGCGAUAUGCAUAAAUUGUUAUUUUAAACAUUUUGCAUACGUUUGCCGAGUAUCGCUCAUUGCUCGUGUAUAUUUACGCGUACAUUUCUAUUAUAAUUUUCACCACGCUAUUUAAAAUAAUAAUCAUACUUAUGUACUCUAUAAAAUUUUGGGCCGCGGCAAUAAAUUUUGCGUUGCACAAUUUCAAGGAAUGUUACACUUACGACUAACAUCGUCCACGCGUUACCUUAACUUGUAAUUAUAUGCGCUCGUAAAUGCAAAGUGCGAGUGUUAUAAGGACUCGUAAUUCAAGGAAUGCAUGACGCUCGAAUUUAGAGCCAGUCCCGCCCAGUAAAUUUCGGAGCGCGCGGAAUAAUGAGGACGAAUGUCGCCGGCAUAACUGAAAAGAGAACAAAAUCUUGGACGACCAAACUUUGAUAUUAAUAGAGGAAAUCCGGAAUGCGUCCGACACUGAGAAUAUAUCUCCGAAUCCCUCUCUUCCCCCCCCCUCUCUCUCUCUCUCUCUCUCUCUCUCUCUCUCUCUCGUUCCAGUGGUGUAAUUUUAAAUUGCCGCGAAAUUUAUGGAAACCCACUUCCACACGCUCCUCUCGUUCUCUCUUUCGUCCUGUGAUUAUUCUAAGUUCAUAAAAUAACGCAAACAACGCAAAACUUUCGCUUUUCAGGAUGUCGUUCGCGAAGUGCACCGUGUGAAAAGCGUAUUUGAAAAUUUCAGAUAUUAUGGAACACUACACGAUAUGGAAUACUGCUUUGUACUCGGAGGCGCACCACUAGAGAGUGGUUUUCGCAAUUUUGUGCGUAAAAUUUUUAAACAACACAUCAUUGAGUAUACUGCGAUACGAUUUGAAUUAUUCUUUCUUCCUCUCCUUCUUUUUCCCCGUGUAUUAUUAAUUCUGACAAGAUAGCUAUAAUUAUUCUCUCAUGUAAAUCACAGAAAAUUACAUCUUGCACAUUCUAAAUGAAUUCGUCUUUACCCUCCUGAUUUUUCCACAUCAGCGUGGGCGACUUUAAAAAAUGUCUCGGGGUGUAUUUGCCAAACAAAGUAAUUUAACACGAAUUAACAUAAAUCACUCAAGUUUCGUUCAUGGCUGUUCACUCGCUCGCGCGUUCGUCCGUUCCACUCGACAGUUCGCCAUCCCUCAACCAACCCCCGACCAGCCGCCACCCAUCAGUGUUACCCUCAUCCGAUUGGAGGCAACGGCCGAUUACAACGUCCCGGCAGAAAUUUUCAAUUUUCGAACUUUUCAGCCACGGGCUCUCGUACUUGUCCGAAUAAUUUCCAAUCGACUGAUUCCUUCCGCAAUAUCUUCGUCUUCCGUUUCACGUCAACAUCGAUGAGUUUACAAUUUUUUGACGUUGGACUGCGACACGUUGUAAACACUCAAUUUGCCAACUGUCAGUGAAGAUCAAGCGUAAUAGGUCGAGGAAUGAGGCAAGAGAAUUUAUAUGCUUAAAUUAUUCUCUGUAUAUUAUGCAGAAUGUGUAAUAAUUCAUAAAAUGUAUGUUAAUAAACCAUCAAAUAUUCGACUUUCUUAACGUAAAGGUUAAA